This 486-nucleotide ribosomal RNA is filed under the name uncultured bacterium. Its description in RNAcentral is "partial 16S ribosomal RNA". It matches the Rfam family "Bacterial small subunit ribosomal RNA", at positions 30 to 507 of the family's 1533-position model. The record is from RNAcentral.
AUUGAACGCUGGCGGCAUGCCUUACACAUGCAAGUCGAACGGCAGCACGGGUGCUUGCCCCUGGUGGCGAGUGGCGAACGGGUGAGUAAUACAUCGGAACAUGUCCUGUAGUGGGGGAUAGCCCGGCGAAAGCCGGAUUAAUACCGCAUACGAUCUACGGAUGAAAGCGGGGGACCUUCGGGCCUCGCGCUAUAGGGUUGGCCGAUGGCUGAUUAGCUAGUUGGUGGGGUAAAGGCCUACCAAGGCGACGAUCAGUAGCUGGUCUGAGAGGACGACCAGCCACACUGGGACUGAGACACGGCCUAGACUCCUACGGGAGGCAGCAGUGGGGAAUUUUGGACAAUGGGCGAAAGCCUGAUCCAGCAAUGCCGCGUGUGUGAAGAAGGCCUUCGGGUUGUAAAGCACUUUUGUCCGGAAAGAAAUCCUUGGCCCUAAUACGGUCGGGGGAUGACGGUACCGGAAGAAUAAGCACCGGCUAACUACGUG